UGGACUACCCGGGUUUCUAAUCCCGUUUGCUCCCCUGGCCUUCGUGCCUCAGUGUCAGGAACUGCCCAGGCAUUCGCCUUCGCCACUGGUCUUCCUCACGAUAUCUACGCAUUUCACUGCUACACCGUGAAUUCCAAUGCCCUCUACAGUCCUCGAGCGACGCAGUAUCGAGUGCAGUUUCCAAGUUAAGCUUGGAGAUUUCACACCCGACUUACAUCGCCACCUACGCACCCUUUACGCCCAAUGAAUCCGAACAACGCUUGAGACCUCUGUAUUACCGCGGCUGCUGGCAC
This 293-nucleotide unclassified non-coding RNA is filed under the name uncultured fungus. RNAcentral describes it as "sequence contains ITS1". Lineage: Eukaryota; Fungi. The record is from RNAcentral.